Long non-coding RNA from Loxodonta africana (African savanna elephant), 2575 nucleotides. RefSeq lists it as uncharacterized. Lineage: Eukaryota; Metazoa; Chordata; Mammalia; Proboscidea; Elephantidae. The transcript is spliced from 3 exons. The record is from RefSeq and is a predicted model, not a curated record.
UGGGGAGGGAGGGCUAUCGCCGGUGGGGCGGACACUUGGCGGGGGUGGGCGUGUUCAUCCGGGCAUGUUCACUACGGAAAAAGCCGAGGGUCAAGUACCGCACUUUAGAGAAGGUUUGACGGAACAGAGACCGGGAGGGGCGAGUGGAGAGAUAGGAGGAGGCCUUGGGAGGACAAGGUGCCAGACCCGGAACCCAGGUUCUGAAGAGGGCGGGCAAGGGGACGGAGUGGAUAGGUCAGCAGUGUCCCAGGCGCACAGGGCUAAGCAAGAUCACGGAAAGUAGGAAUGGAAAAAUUAGUGCUUGACUCCUUGGAGUAGGUUAACCAUCAUCUUCCUCCCAAGCUGUUUUUACAUCCAUCUGCGUGGGGAUUUUUUCUGCUGGUGGCACAAAAAUAAAUCUUUGAUACAGCUCUGAUUAUGUGAAUUAUACAACAGGGAAUCCAAGGCACUAUUGUUUUACUCCUAAGUAACCCAGUGCAGUUAAAGCCCUUUGCGGAAGAGUUGGUCCAAGACGAGAGAGGGGAAGAACGUUCGUAUAGCUCUGGCCUCGGGUUUGCCCAGUGCAGGAGGCCGCUCAGGCGCAAUACCCGACGAACGUGGAGAGAGCGGGGAGUGAGGGGACGAGGAGCCCAGGCAAGGGGAUUAGGCACUCAAUCCUGGGACUCCGGUGCGACCGGGACCCAGGCGGCAGUGGACGCAGUGGCGAUAUUUGGGUUUGGUCUUACUCAGUAUUCGAACUGCGGCUUAAAUGGACCAGAAAACCCAGCUUGUGGGUACACUGCAAUCGCAUUCCUCCACGUCGUGAAGUUGGAAAGAUGUCCUUGAGCGACUUUUAAGUUACAUAAAACCAUGUCACAAAGUAAUAUGUAGGCGGUGACCCUAUUUUUGCUGAGAUAAAAUUACCUGGAGUGUGAGCGCGCUCGCUGAUAUGAGUUUCUAAGGACGUGCACCAACCAGCGAGGCCAGAGUCACCACUGAGAGGUCAGGGUUCCUGGUCGUCUGUCAUUUCUGCCACACAUUUCCGUACAUUUUAUGAACAUUUUGCGAAUAAGUAUGUAUUGCUCUGUAUAUUUUGAUAAAACGAUAAUGAAAAGUCCUGCCCCCUUACCAGGCGCCCUGUCGUGAAGGGACUACCCAGGUUUCGCUUCUCGGGGUGGAUGACCCAGCCGGUCCACUACCCUUACAAGCCCGGCGUCCAACUCUCUCCCGGGAGCUCGCGGUUCUCUCCUGGAGCCCCCCGGCUCUCCCAGCCUCUGCGCCCCGCUCCUGGGCAUCCAGAUACGCCUUACUUGGGCUCCCUUGGGAGACAGCGUCCCAUUCCCAGAGCGGAUGGAUGCCCCUUUCAGCUGUCCGAGUAGCACUAGCGGGGAGGCGCUCAUUCUGAUUCCAGGACAUCUCAGAGGGCUGAAGAGAUACGGCGAGUUAUACUGCUUGGAGCCACCCGAUAUCACGAGCUGAAGGCCCUCAUCUAUAUCCUAAGGGUCCAAGGAUUCCUGCCCUCAGGAGCUCACAGUCUGGUGGGGAAGACAGACAUUCAGAUUGAGAGAUGAAGAUGAAGAUCUGAAGCCACCUUUUGGAUAGCUUGAUUUAAGAUUCGGAAGAUGACUGGAAGAAAGAACAACAAAAUCAAGAAUAAACAUAAAGAAAUACCCGUGUUUAACAGAAUGUUUUUAAGACUAUGCUUUUGAAUAAAGGAAUUUAAGGAAUCAAUAAAUUGUUUGGCUAUUUGAGAAGAGGAAAAAUCUUUUUCUGCUUUUGUAAUAUCUUGUAUUUCCAUAUGUAAUUUGUCAAUAUUAAAACUCAAAUCGGAAUGAUUCCAUAUGCCCUGGAUAUGAUUUUUGAUUUUUUCCCAAUUAUGUAUGUAUGGUAGUAUUUACAGGCAGUGGAGUAACACAAAUCCAUUUGAAACUUACAUGGCAUCUCAAAGUAAGUCGCACUUUGAGAUUAGUGAUUUCUUGUCCUAUAUAUAGAAUUGCUUCUUCAAGGGCAUUAAUUUCUUGUUGUAAUUUUCUAUCAAUGGCUUCUUGUGUGGCUAAGGCUAAAGUAAUAUUUUUACUUAAAUUAUCUACAUAGUUUGCCGUAUGAAUCUGUUGUGUUAACGCCAUAGCAGAAAGUGAAAGAGAAGUUGCUAAAGCUAUGAGAGCGGAAAUCCCCAGUAUUAAAGCUGCUACAAACCGUUUGGCUCGAGAUAAAAUAGCAGAAGCUUGUUUUAAGGCUUCUAGGCCUGAAUCAUCAUACCAAUCUUCUUGUAAAUGUACAGGAAUCAUAAUAUAUUUUGGCUGUUGUAAAAUCAUCAUACUUUCGACAGGAAUUGCAGGGUUUAUACAACUGGUCAGUAUACAAUCUUCACAAGAACUAACAUAAUGUGUUUUCUUGUUUUCUAUAACAAUACUAGAGUGAUUGUUGCGGCUAAUUAAUAACACAUAUGGAGCAGGUACACAAGCUUGAAUAUCAAAACUCUCAUUAUUAAAAGGACGGGACAAAGUGACAUUGCCGGCAGCAGUUGCCAGUCUCCACAAAGAUGGAUGUAUGUUACCCGUGAAGGUAGAAAGAAUAGGGGGAACCCAUCCAUUUA